AGAACGAACGCUGGCGGCAUGCCUAACACAUGCAAGUCGAACGCUUUUGGGGCUUCGGUCCCAAAGGAGUGGCGCACGGGUGAGUAGCGCGUGGGAACCUGCCCUGUUGUGGGGGAUAACCGAGGGAAACUUCGGCUAAUACCGCAUACGCCCGGGGGAAACUCCGGGGAAAGAUUUAUCGCAGCAGGAGGGGCCCGCGUCGGAUUAGGUAGUUGGUGGGGUAACGGCCCACCAAGCCUGUGAUCCGUAGCUGGUCUGAGAGGAUGAUCAGCCACACUGGGACUGAGACACGGCCCAGACUCCUACGGGAGGCAGCAGUGGGGAAUAUUGGACAAUGGGCGCAAGCCUGACCGAGCGACGCCGCGUGGAGGAUGAAGGCCUUCGGGUUGUAAACUCCUGUCGAGGGGGAGGAAGGCGCAAGCUUGACCUAUCCCUGGAGGAAGCACGGGCUAAGUUCGUGCCAGCAGCCGC
RNAcentral lists this ribosomal RNA (471 nucleotides) under uncultured bacterium. RNAcentral describes it as "SSU rRNA". It matches the Rfam family "Bacterial small subunit ribosomal RNA", at positions 26 to 518 of the family's 1533-position model. The record is from RNAcentral.